Non-coding RNA from Acanthosepion pharaonis, 73 nucleotides. The record is from the annotation of a GenBank genome assembly. NCBI's taxonomy places the organism in Eukaryota, Metazoa, Mollusca, Cephalopoda, Sepiida, Sepiidae.
ACCGACGUUAAGCAACGUUGAGCCUGGUUAGUACUGAGAUGGGUGACCGCUUGGAAAUACCAGGUGCUGUAAU